CCUUCCCCCUGGCAGAGCUGUUUGAGUAUGGAGUAAGGUCUGAAGGUUAAGUGUAACAAUUCUGGACUUCCUGGGUAAGAUGGCUGCAGAAUAGCAGGAAUGGCCUGAUUCUCCUCACAACCAAUUACUACAAAGUGUCUCAAAAGGACAAAAAUUAGAAUCAGAUGAGUGAAGGGGCUCUCCCACUGGAUGCAGGUUCGAAGUCUCCAGUUUCUGCUGUGUCCCAGGAGACCAUCUGAUCCAAUCUGAGUAUGUUUUAAGGCAUUUUUCAUGCUUCUACCAGUCAACAUUAGACAGGAAUGGGAAUGAAUGGAAUUAUGAAAGCAUUUGCAAAAUAAAAUCAUGUUUGCCUCUGUGUGAAA
Long non-coding RNA from Monodelphis domestica (gray short-tailed opossum), 362 nucleotides. RefSeq lists it as uncharacterized. NCBI's taxonomy places the organism in Eukaryota, Metazoa, Chordata, Mammalia, Didelphimorphia, Didelphidae. The record is from RefSeq and is a predicted model, not a curated record.